AGUUCGAUCCUGGCUCAGAUUGAACGCUGGCGGGAGAAGACACAUGCAAGUCGAACGGCAGCACGGACUUCGGUCUGGUGGCGAGUGGCGAACGGGUGAGUAAAUGAAAUGGAACGUGCCUGCAAGCGGGGGAUAACUACGCGUAGCGGUAGCUAAUACCGCAUACCGCCUCUUCGGGGAAAGCGGGGACCUUUCGGGCCUCGCACUAUUAGAGCGGCCGAUAUCGGAUUAGCUAGGUUGGUGGGGUAACGGUCACCAAGGCGACGAUCCGUAGCUGGUUUGAGAGACGACCAGCCACAUGCCACUGACUGGAGACACGGGCCCAGACUCCUACGGGAGGCAGCAGUGGGAAUUUUGACAAUGGGGAAAACUCUGAUCCAGCCAUCCUGUGCGAUGAAGGCCUGGGUUGUAAAGCACUUUUGGCAGGAAGAAACGGCACGGAUAAUACCCUCGUGCAACUGACGGUACCUGCAGAAUAAGCACCGGCUAACUACGCGCCAGCAGCCGCGGUAAUACGUAGGGUGCAAGCGUUAAUCGGAAUUACUGGGCGUAAAAGCGUGCGCAGGCGGUUCGGAAAGAAAGAUGUGAAAUCCCGCAGAGCUAACUUUGGAACUGCAUUUUUAACUACCGACAGAGUGUGUCAGAGGAGGUGGAAUCUGGGCGUGUAGCAGUGAAAUGCGUAGAUAUGGGGUGAGGAACACUGAUGGCGAAGGCAGCCUCCUGGGAUAACACUGACGCUCAUGCACGGAAAGCGUGGGGAGCAACAGAUUAGAUACCCUGGCAGUCCACGCCCUAAACGAUGUCAAUCUAGCUGCUGGGGCCUUCGGGCCUUUGCAGCGCAGCUAACGCGUGAAGUUGACCGCCUGGGGAGUACGGUCGCAAGAUUAAACUCAAAGAAUUGACGGGGACCGCACAAGCGGUGGAUGAUGCGGGAUUAAUUCGAUGCACGCGAAAACCUUACUCUACCUCGACAUGUCUGGAAUCCCGAAGAGAUUUGGGAGGCUCGCAAGAGAAACCGAACACAGGUGCUACGGUUGUCGUCAGCUCGUGGUCGUGGAGAUGUUGGGUUAAGUCCCGCAACGAGCGCAAACUUUGGUUAUUGCUGCUACGAAAGGGCACUCUUAAUGACUGCCGGUGAUAAACCGAGGAAGGUGGGGAUGACGUCAAGUCCUCAUGGCCCUUAUGGGUAGGGCUUCACACGUCAUACAACACGGGACAGAGGGUCGCCAACCUGCGAGGGGGAGCCAUCCCAGAAACCUGAUCGUAGUCCUGAUCGCAGUUCGCAACUCGACUGCGGAAGUCGGAAUCGCCAGUAAUCGCGGAUCAGCAUGUCGCGGUGAAUACGUUCCUGCUGGGUCUUGUACACACCGCCCGUCACACCAUGGGAGUGGGUUUCUACCAGAAGUAGUUAGCCUAACCGUAAGGAGGGCGAUUACCACGGUAGGAUUCAUGACUGGGGGUGUAGUCGUAACAAGGUAA
This 1479-nucleotide ribosomal RNA is filed under the name uncultured Bordetella sp. RNAcentral describes it as "partial 16S-23S ribosomal RNA intergenic spacer". It matches the Rfam family "Bacterial small subunit ribosomal RNA". The record is from RNAcentral. Lineage: Bacteria; Pseudomonadati; Pseudomonadota; Betaproteobacteria; Burkholderiales; Alcaligenaceae.